GGACAUGUAAGCUCAAUCGAAGAGCGCACGCCUGAUAAGCGUGAGGUUACUGGUUAGAAUCCAGCCAUGGCACACUA
Molecule: transfer RNA, 77 nt
Filed under: Levilactobacillus brevis
Lineage: Bacteria; Bacillati; Bacillota; Bacilli; Lactobacillales; Lactobacillaceae
Description: Lactobacillus brevis tRNA-Ile
Rfam family: tRNA
About the family: Transfer RNA (tRNA) molecules are approximately 80 nucleotides in length. Their secondary structure includes four short double-helical elements and three loops (D, anti-codon, and T loops). Further hydrogen bonds mediate the characteristic L-shaped molecular structure. tRNAs have two regions of fundamental functional importance: the anti-codon, which is responsible for specific mRNA codon recognition, and the 3' end, to which the tRNAs corresponding amino acid is attached (by aminoacyl-tRNA synthetases). tRNAs cope with the degeneracy of the genetic code in two manners: having more than one tRNA (with a specific anti-codon) for a particular amino acid; and 'wobble' base-pairing, i.e. permitting non-standard base-pairing at the 3rd anti-codon position.
Source: RNAcentral